UUAACACAUGCAAGUCGAACGAAGCACUUAUCUUUGAUUCCUCGGAUGAAGAGAUUUGUGACUGAGUGGCGGACGGGUGAGUAACGCGUGGGUAACCUGCCUCAUACAGGGGGAUAACAGUUAGAAAUGACUGCUAAUACCGCAUAAGACCACAGAGCCGCAUGGCUCGGUGGGAAAAACUCCGGUGGUAUGAGAUGGACCCGCGUCUGAUUAGGUAGUUGGUGGGGUAACGGCCUACCAAGCCAACGAUCAGUAGCCGACCUGAGAGGGUGACCGGCCACAUUGGGACUGAGACACGGCCCAAACUCCUACGGGAGGCAGCAGUGGGGAAUAUUGCACAAUGGGGGAAACCCUGAUGCAGCGACGCCGCGUGAGCGAAGAAGUAUUUCGGUAUGUAAAGCUCUAUCAGCAGGGAAGAAAAUGACGGUACCUGACUAAGAAGCACCGGCUAAAUACGUGCCAGCAGCCGCGGUAAUACGUAUGGUGCAAGCGUUAUCCGGAUUUACUGGGUGUAAAGGGAGCGUAGACGGCUGUGUAAGUCUGAAGUGAAAGCCCGGGGCUCAACCCCGGGACUGCUUUGGAAACUAUGCAGCUAGAGUGUCGGAGAGGUAAGUGGAAUUCCCAGUGUAGCGGUGAAAUGCGUAGAUAUUGGGAGGAACACCAGUGGCGAAGGCGGCUUACUGGACGAUGACUGACGUUGAGGCUCGAAAGCGUGGGGAGCAAACAGG
Molecule: ribosomal RNA, 728 nt
Filed under: uncultured Lachnospiraceae bacterium
Lineage: Bacteria; Bacillati; Bacillota; Clostridia; Lachnospirales; Lachnospiraceae
Description: bacterial SSU rRNA
Rfam family: Bacterial small subunit ribosomal RNA
Source: RNAcentral